AACUUUUGACAAUGGACCACUUGGUUCUGGCAUCGAUGAAGAACGCAGCGAAAUGCGAUAAGUAAUGUGAAUUGCAGAAUUCAGUGAAUCAUCGAAUCUUUGAACGCACAUUGCGCCCCUUGGUAUUCCGAGGGGCAUGCCUGUUCGAGCGUCAUUAUAACCACUCAAGCCUCGGCUUGGUCUUGGGGUUCGCGGUCCCGCGGCCCUUAAAAUCAGUGGCGGUGCCGUCUGGCUCUAAGCGUAGUAAUUCUCUCGCUAUAGGGUCCCGGCGGUUGCCUGCCAGAACCCCCCAUUUUUUACGGUUGACCUCGGAUCAGGUAGGGAUACCCGCUGAACUUAAGCAUAUCAAUAAGCGGAGGCU
Molecule: unclassified non-coding RNA, 361 nt
Filed under: uncultured Meliniomyces
Lineage: Eukaryota; Fungi; Ascomycota; Leotiomycetes; Helotiales; Helotiaceae
Description: sequence contains ITS2
Rfam family: 5.8S ribosomal RNA (bases 1-154)
Source: RNAcentral